GAUGAACGCUGGCGGCGUGCCUAAUACAUGCAAGUCGAGCGAACAGACGAGGAACUUGCUCCUCUGACGUUAGCGGCGGACGGGUGAGUAACACGUGGAUAACCUACCUAUAAGACUGGGAUAACUUCGGGAAACCGGAGCUAAUACCGGAUAACAUGUUGAACCGCAUGGUUCAACAGUGAAAGACGGUCUUGCUGUCGCUUAUAGAUGGAUCCGCGCCGCAUUAGCUAGUUGGUAAGGUAACGGCUUACCAAGGCAACGAUGCGUAGCCGACCUGAGAGGGUGAUCGGCCACACUGGAACUGAGACACGGUCCAGACUCCUACGGGAGGCAGCAGUAGGGAAUCUUCCGCAAUGGGCGAAAGCCUGACGGAGCAACGCCGCGUGAGUGAAGAAGGUCUUCGGAUCGUAAAACUCUGUUAUUAGGGAAGAACAAAUGUGUAAGUAACUAUGCACGUCUUGACGGUACCUAAUCAGAAAGCCACGGCUAACUACGUG
RNAcentral lists this ribosomal RNA (497 nucleotides) under uncultured bacterium. RNAcentral describes it as "partial 16S ribosomal RNA". It matches the Rfam family "Bacterial small subunit ribosomal RNA", at positions 28 to 507 of the family's 1533-position model. The record is from RNAcentral.